AGCGAACUCUGGCGGCAGGCCUAACACAUGCAAGUCGAACGAACCUUUCGGGGUUAGUGGCGGACGGGUGAGUAACACGUGGGAACGUGCCUUUAGGUUCGGAAUAACUCAGGGAAACUUGUGCUAAUACCGAAUGUGCCCUUCGGGGGAAAGAUUUAUCGCCUUUAGAGCGGCCCGCGUCUGAUUAGCUAGUUGGUUGAGGUAAUGGCUCACCAAGGCGACGAUCAGUAGCUGGUCUGAGAGGAUGAUCAGCCACAUUGGGACUGAGACACGGCCCAAACUCCUACGGGAGGCAGCAGUGGGGAAUCUUGCGCAAUGGGCGAAAGCCUGACGCAGCCAUGCCGCGUGAAUGAUGAAGGUCUUAGGAUUGUAAAAUUCUUUCACCGGGGACGAUAAUGACGGUACCCGGAGAAGAAGCCCCGGCUAACUUCGUG
This 434-nucleotide ribosomal RNA is filed under the name uncultured bacterium. Its description in RNAcentral is "partial 16S ribosomal RNA". It matches the Rfam family "Bacterial small subunit ribosomal RNA", at positions 29 to 507 of the family's 1533-position model. The record is from RNAcentral.